CAUGGCAUCUGGGCAGGUGUUUCUGGAAAACCAUAGAUUGAGAAAUGUGAUGAACUCCCUGGAAAUGGCUAUGGUCAAACUCUAUGCUCCUGGGAUUGGAGAGUUCAUAAGCAACCAGUGGGUCCCAGAAGAGCUGCAGAAAGUUAGAAGUGACUGGUUCGUGCUGUCCACAUAUGAAGAUUUUGACAGUUUCCUUUCGGAUUUGGAGAGAGAGACUCUGAGUGAUUCAGCUGAAAAUAUUCCAACUGAAGCACCAGAGCACAGAAACACUAAUUACAGUGGUGACAGCAAGCUCCCUUCCUGGAUAGAGGAGGACAAAGAGGAGGAGGAGGAAAAUGGCUUGCGUAUGUGGUGAAGUAUCUUUUGACAGAAUCAUUCCAUGGACUGACAAAGUCUGGGAAGCUGCUGUACCGUGAGCUGCCAGGCCUGAGCUGUAGCUCAUGUUGGAAUGACAGCUGAGCAGUCUUGGUGCAGUUCAGUUGCUUGUUCAAGUGAGAUUACUUGUGCAUUGAUCAAU
This 517-nucleotide long non-coding RNA is filed under the name Aquila chrysaetos chrysaetos. RNAcentral describes it as "lncRNA (ENSACCG00020015567.1)". The record is from RNAcentral. Lineage: Eukaryota; Metazoa; Chordata; Aves; Accipitriformes; Accipitridae.